RNAcentral lists this ribosomal RNA (253 nucleotides) under uncultured bacterium. RNAcentral describes it as "partial 16S ribosomal RNA". It matches the Rfam family "Bacterial small subunit ribosomal RNA", at positions 524 to 776 of the family's 1533-position model. The record is from RNAcentral. RNAcentral also lists the same sequence under 1 other name.
UACGUAGGGUGCAAGCGUUAAUCGGAAUUACUGGGCGUAAAGCGUGCGCAGGCGGUUAUGUAAGACAGUUGUGAAAUCCCCGGGCUCAACCUGGGAACUGCAUCUGUGACUGCAUAGCUAGAGUACGGUAGAGGGGGAUGGAAUUCCGCGUGUAGCAGUGAAAUGCGUAGAUAUGCGGAGGAACACCGAUGGCGAAGGCAAUCCCCUGGACCUGUACUGACGCUCAUGCACGAAAGCGUGGGGAGCAAACAGG